Molecule: ribosomal RNA, 440 nt
Filed under: uncultured bacterium
Lineage: Bacteria
Description: partial 16S ribosomal RNA
Rfam family: Bacterial small subunit ribosomal RNA
Source: RNAcentral
CCUACGGGUGGCAGCAGUGGGGAAUAUUGCACAAUGGGGGAAACCCUGAUGCAGCGACGCCGCGUGAGUGAAGAAGUAUUUCGGUAUGUAAAGCUCUAUCAGCAGGGAAGAAAAUGACGGUACCUGAUUAAGAAGCCCCGGCUAACUACGUGCCAGCAGCCGCGGUCAUACGUAGGGGGCAGGCGUUUUCCGGAUUUACUGGGUGGAAAGGGAGCGUAGACGGCAGCGCAAGUCUGAAGGGAAAUGCCGGGGCUUAACCCCGGGACUGCUUUGGAGACUGUGCAGCUAGAGUGCGGGAGAGGUAAGUGGAAUUCCUAGUGUAGCGGUGAAAUGCGUAGAUAUUAGGAGGAACACCAGUGGCGAAGGCGGCUUACUGGACUGUAACUGACGUUGAGGCUCGAAAGCGUGGGGAGCAAACAGGAUUAGAUACCCUUGUAGUC